RNAcentral lists this long non-coding RNA (736 nucleotides) under Elaeis guineensis (African oil palm). RNAcentral describes it as "long non-coding RNA (EGUI_LNC002325)". The record is from RNAcentral. Lineage: Eukaryota; Viridiplantae; Streptophyta; Magnoliopsida; Arecales; Arecaceae.
UAUCUCUGUCUACUUACACUAAUGACAUAAAAAAUGAUAGGUUCCAUCCAAUAUUAUACCAGUAUUAAAAGGUAUUCCGAAGUGGAGCAUGAAGCUCCGCCUCAGAACUUCGUAGAUCUCCUUCUAUGCCCAUUGCAUGUGGUGAGUUCUAGUUGACUUUACAAGUAAAAAACUGAAUAUGUACUAAUAUACUAUUUUCUCCUCCGAGACACUGUGCAAAGAGCCAUAGACUUUGUUAACAUCCAAAGGAGAGCGCAUAUUAUAAAGCAUCCUCUAUACGAUGCAUUAUAGAGGAUGCUCUGUAGAAUUUUUAUCCAUCUAACAAGACCUCUAUAUGAGAAUGAAGCAUGUACCAAGUCAACAAAUUUCAUAUCAUGAUUAUUUAUUUUGAAAAAGAACAAACAAAAUAUACAUAAAUGCAGGAAAAUAAUGAAAUGAACACAAGCAGAGAUUAAAUGCAAGUGAAUGCAACUUGUAUGAUAAACAUAUUAUAACUGUAUUGUGAUUAGUACACAUAAGACACGACAACUUUCGUUCAGAUAAAUUCCAGUGAUCACUUUCAGAGCGAAAGCUUUCACUCUAGAAAAGAUAAGAAUCCUUCGACUCGUUUUCUUGAGGUUAUGUGACAAUCCACAAGUGGGAGAGUUUUCAUGGGCCACAUCCCACGUGGAACCAAGGUGAUGCUUGCCUAUAAUAGGUGUUUUGGAUCACAAAUACCCCGCAGCCCCGGAGAGAG